This is a long non-coding RNA of Tripterygium wilfordii, 3338 nucleotides long. RefSeq lists it as uncharacterized. The record is from RefSeq and is a predicted model, not a curated record. NCBI's taxonomy places the organism in Eukaryota, Viridiplantae, Streptophyta, Magnoliopsida, Celastrales, Celastraceae. The transcript is spliced from 4 exons.
CAUGUCGGCCCAACUAACAAACAAAUUUAAAUCCAACAAAUACUACGUUGGGCUCUAACGACAAUGUGGUUGUUCUGUGUCAAGGGUAGAAGGCCCAGCCCAGAAUAUGGACAUUGUUAACCACAUUUUUGCUCUUUCCGCAAGACGGAGAAUUCAGGGUCUCACAAUACUGUCAGUGUUGAAGGAAAAUAUAGGGAGCACAACAAGAUAACCUGAUCUCACUACCAUAAAUAAUAAAAAUCAUCUUAAUCUCAAAUACUUUUUGGGAUUGCUGGGUGUUUUUUUGAAAUGUUAAAAUUAAUCACAGAACUUUCAAACCAAUCAAACAAGAGUUCCAUCGCAUUAAGGAAUCAAGACCAGGUAAGAUGAAGGUAAAUAUAACGAAAUAAACAAACUGAGAAAAUGUAAGGCAAAAGACGGGGAGGGUGGUGAAGUGAGCAUCAGUUUUAAAAAGCUCGAUUUUUUGAAUCUUCAUGGAUUCAUCAGAAGUUGCAUUCGUUUACUUCUUUCAUCAUCUGCUCACAAUCACCAUCUUUUGUCAAUCAAACAGAAAUCCCACAAAAACAAAAACAAAAAAAUCGAACGGAAACAUAAAAAUGGAAGAAACAUGACCAACUCUUGUGCUCUGGAAAAUCUCUAUCGGAGCCGCUCUUUUUAUAUAGGAUGAAGGGAAGCCCGUAAAACCCUAAUCGCUCUUUAGUGCCUUCCAAAGCGACACCGUUUGGUUUGAAAUCCCAAACGCUGCCGUUCGAAGUUUUUUUAUUUUUCCUUCUUUUCCGCGUUCUCGGUUAUCUUAAAACGCUGCGUUUUGCUGGGUCUCUUCUGCUCAUUUGUCUUCUGUGAAACGACGGUCUCGAGAAAUUGAGGCGCAUGAUCAUAUUGACUCGACAUUGUAAGGCAUUUUCAUGCUUUAAUUUUGCGACGCAUUUUACAAUUAGCACUUGCACACGCUUCCCUCGACGUCGUUUUACAGCGCAAGCUGCAUUGAGCCUACAAGAGCAAGAAACAAAGUGCAAUGCGCGACUCCUCUGGAGUUUGACAAUCGUGUGUAUACUGCUGUGCUCAAAGAUUGUGUCUGAAACGAUGACCCAGUUAGAUGGAAAGCUCUGCAAUGUCAUUAUCGAAGGAGGGAUAAUUACCUUGACUUGUUCGUUCAAAAUGUUCUUUUAAACUUGUAAGUCAAAGCGGAUUUAUUAAAUCAUGCACGUAAGCUGUUCGAUGAGAUGCCCAAGAAAAAGACAAUCUCUUUCGUUAAUUUGAUCCAAGCGCAGACACAUUCGUUUAGAAACCUGGAGGGUAUAGAGUGGUUCCACCGCUUACAUAGAGAAGGGCAGGAGACGAACCCUUUUGUUUUUACUACAAUACGGAUUUGCUUGUAGGUAAAGAAUGGGCGGAGCUGUGUUGGAUGCUACAUACCUACAUAUGUAAGCUUGGUCCUGACUCUAAUACUUUCGUUGAGACUGCUAUUAUUGAUGCAUAUUCUGUGUGUGGGUACGUCCAGAGUGCUUGAGAAGUUGCUAGCAAGGACGUGGUUUGUUGGACCGGGAUGGUGACUUGCUAUUCAGAGAAUGAUUGUUUUGAAAACGCAUUGGAACUUUUCUAUCGAGUGCAUGUUGUUGGGUUGAAUCCCAGUAAUGAUAGCUUUAAUUGCGUGCUCAAGGCCUGUCUAGGACUAGAGGCCUUAGACCUGGCAAUUAGUGGCAAAGUCUGUUCAUGGGUGUGCUUUGAAAACUAGUUAUGAAUUGAAUAUUUAUGUUGGUGCUUCUUUGCUUGAAUUCUAUACCAAAUUGGGAGAUUUGGGUGAUGCUCAAUUUUUUUGGAUAAGAUGCGAAAGAAGGAUGUGAUUCCUUGGAGUUUUAUGUUUGCAUGAAGAGGUCCGAACAUAGUUGCUGUGGAGCUAUUUUAUCAGAUGAGACAAGAAUUCGUCAUUCCUACUGAGUAUACAUUUACUAGUUUGCUGCAAGCUUGUGCAACUAUGGAGGGUUUAAAUUUGUGGACGCAAAUCCGUUGCAAUGUAUUCAUGGUUAGUUUGAACUUGGAUGUGUAUGUUUCGAAUUCGCUCAUGGAUGUCUAUGGUAAAUGUGGGAGGAUGGAGAGCUCUAUGAAACUAUUUGUUGAAUCACCAAUUAGAAAUGAUAAUACUUGGAACACAACGAUUGGUGGUUAUGUACAGGCAGAUUAUGCGGAGAAGGCAUUGGAUUUGUUUGUAAAUAUGCUUGAAUGCCAGGUCGAACUUACAUAAGUGACAUACUCUAGCAUUCCUUCGUGCUUGUGCUACUUUAGCUGCACUGGAGUCAGGCAUUCAAAUUCAUUCCUUGACAGUGAAGAGCAAUUAUAUCAACAAUGUUGUGGUUGAAAAUUCUUUAAUUGAUAUAUAUGAGCAGCAAAUAUAUAUUAUUGCGCAUCAACAUAAUUCUCAGUGGAGCUUGUACUACUGGGUGUUAUUGUGAAAACUCCAAAAAAAUUGCAGUUAAUUGAGUCUUACUUGCGAUUUCACAAGUGUUGACACUCAGAAUACUGAAAUUUCCACCUAGUUGAGAAGGGCAUCAUCACUAUAGUUUUGAUUGGGAGCAGAUCUUAAAUUGUUGUCCUCCGGAGUGCUACCAUUUACAUGAAUGACUUAAUUGCAAACGCAAGUGGUACUUCCCUGAGGAAUUCGUUAAUUUUAAUGUUGAUUCAUUUGAAUCUUGGCAUUUCAGGAAAUGUUAACUGGUGAGAGGAAGGGAUUUGCUGGAAGCCAAGCUUUUCGAGAAUGCUACUUUGAAGGUCCCUGAAUAUGGCCUAGUUACAGUUACUCGCUAGAUGCAAAGAGCGUAACACCAACUUCUGACGGGGAGAUGUCGGUACUUCAACGCUGGUUGGCAUCGUGGUCCUGUGGCCUCGCCCUGCGAAGCAAAAUGGAAGAUCUAACAAUUUGUAGGCCAAGAAACAAUCUUCAUUUUUGGCUGCAAUUGAGAAGACAAUGAAAUCAAGUACAACAAUUUGCUCUCUUGGCCUGGGGGUGUGGUUUAGAAGAUGAUUUACCAACUCUAGGUUGAGGUAGAUGGGCUGUACAAAACUGGCCCAUAUCCGGUGGGUCUGGAGCACAGGACAAGUCUAUAUAGUGCCAUUGUUCUUUAACCCAAAACUUGGCAUAUGAAAAUGGAGAAGACCCUUUGGUUGUCCUGGUCACACGUGUUUCUGUGAAUGUGCAGAGGUGUUGUUUUUGAUUGGGCAAUUGACCAUGUCAAAGGUGAACCACCAGCUAUCUCGUCUGGGACCUGUGGCUAUGGUCAGUGCCCCAGUUGGCUGUAUAUUUUAAGUACAAGAAAACAUGCAAAGCUGUGUUCUUUAUAUUA